ACGGACUGGCGCCUAGUGGAAUCUCGCUGGAAACGGGGACCAUGAGAAAUCGUGAGAACCGUCGAUGGCGAGGGGAAGCUAUUAGCUGGUCAGUGGCGAACGGGUGAGUAACACGUGGGUGACCUGCCCCGAAGUGGGGGAUAACUGCUCGAAAGGGUAGCUAAUACCGCAUAUGCUUCGGCAUUCGUUUGUCGAAGUAAAGGAGUAAUCCGCUUUGGGAGGGGCCCGCGGCCCAUCAGCUAGUUGGUAGGGUAAUGGCCUACCAAGGCAAUGACGGGUAGCUGGUCUGAGAGGACGAUCAGCCACACUGGCACUGAGACACGGGCCAGACUCCUACGGGAGGCAGCAGUGAGGAAUAUUGCGCAAUGGGCGAAAGCCAGACGCAGCAACGCCGCGUGGGCGAUGAAGGUCUUCGGAUCGUAAAGCCCUUUUCCAGAGGAAGAGGAAGGACAGUACUCUGGGAAUAAGUCUCGGCUAACUACGUGCCAGCAGCCGCGGUAAAACGUAGGAGGCAAGCGUUAUCCGGAUUCAUUGGGCGUAAAGCGCGUGCAGGCGGUGCUUUAAGUUGGACGUGAAAUCUCCCGGCCUAACUGGGAGCGGCCGUUCAAUACUGAGGCACUUGAGGUCGGAAGAGGGGAGUGGAAUUCCCGGUGUAGCGGUGGAAUGCGUAGAUAUCGGGAGGAACACCCGUGGCGAAAGCGGCUUCCUGGUCCGCACCUGACGCUAAGACGCGAAAGCUAGGGGAGCGAACGGGAUUAGAUACCCCGGUAGUCCUAGCUGUAAACGAUGGAUACUAGGUGU
Molecule: ribosomal RNA, 801 nt
Filed under: uncultured bacterium
Lineage: Bacteria
Description: bacterial SSU rRNA
Rfam family: Bacterial small subunit ribosomal RNA
Source: RNAcentral